GUUCAGUCUGCCUUACCUGACUGUCCUGGCCAUACAAAUGUGAAGGACAAGCACUUAAAUGAAACUGAUACUGUUCAAAGUGGAUAGUGCAUUGACCUGCACACCACUGCCACUGGGUGCCAUUUGGGAUUUCUACCCACAGGCUCUGCUUAGGGUAUCCCUCAGGAAGAAGGGAGGUGUGCCCAGAACAAGAUCCAUGGCUCCAAUUUGUUGCACAGCCUUACAAAUGCAAGCAAAUCCUGGCUAAUGGUUCCAACUGGUAGCAGUGGCAUGCUCUGCCCUGCCACAGCAGGGCAGCUGUGUAGCAGUUUCUCCAGAGCUUGGUUUCCCCCGUGGGGUGACCUCUUUCCUAUCUCACUGAGAUAAAUUCUCCAGGAUUCUUGACCUGAUCUGAUGGAGGUGGCAACCAGGCUGCAGUUUUUAAAUCAGUAGUCUCCACACGAGCACACCGUCUAGCACAUAUUGUGCCUUUAAAAAUGAAAUAAACCACACCCCUGAAAUCCA
This 504-nucleotide long non-coding RNA is filed under the name Anser brachyrhynchus (Pink-footed goose). RNAcentral's name for it is "lncRNA (ENSABRG00000013379.1)". The record is from RNAcentral. Lineage: Eukaryota; Metazoa; Chordata; Aves; Anseriformes; Anatidae.